Molecule: ribosomal RNA, 492 nt
Filed under: uncultured bacterium
Lineage: Bacteria
Description: partial 16S ribosomal RNA
Rfam family: Bacterial small subunit ribosomal RNA
Source: RNAcentral
AGUGAACGCUGGCGGUAGGCCCAACACAUACAAGUCGAACGGCAGCACAGUAAGAGCUUGCUCUUACGGGUGGCGAGUGGCGGACGGGUGAGGAAUACAUCGGAAUCUACUUUUUCGUGGGGGAUAACGUAGGGAAACUUACGCUAAUACCGCAUACGACCUACGGGUGAAAGCAGGGGAUCUUCGGACCUUGCGCGAUUGAAUGAGCCGAUGUCGGAUUAGCUAGUUGGCGGGGUAAAGGCCCACCAAGGCGACGAUCCGUAGCUGGUCUGAGAGGAUGAUCAGCCACACUGGAACUGAGACACGGUCCAGACUCCUACGGGAGGCAGCAGUGGGGAAUAUUGGACAAUGGGCGCAAGCCUGAUCCAGCCAUACCGCGUGGGUGAAGAAGGCCUUCGGGUUGUAAAGCCCUUUUGUUGGGAAAGAAAAGCAGCAGGUUAAUACCCCGCUGUUCUGACGGUACCCAAAGAAUAAGCACCGGCUAACUUCGUG